UGGCCAGUACAGGAUCUAGGACAGAAGGGCUUCCAUUUGAGACCACCUAAAAUUAGCCAAGAUGCCCCUACUUCCUUUGGGAAUCCUUCUGUAACUCAUUUGUUUGGAUGCACUUCCUAGUCAUUCUUCUUGAAAAUGCACCAGGCUCCCCUGUGUUCGAAGAACACAUGAAAGAGAAUUCUAGCGAU
Prionailurus viverrinus (fishing cat) is the source of this 188-nucleotide long non-coding RNA. RefSeq lists it as uncharacterized. Lineage: Eukaryota; Metazoa; Chordata; Mammalia; Carnivora; Felidae. The transcript is spliced from 3 exons. The record is from RefSeq and is a predicted model, not a curated record.